This 497-nucleotide ribosomal RNA is filed under the name uncultured bacterium. RNAcentral's name for it is "partial 16S ribosomal RNA". It matches the Rfam family "Bacterial small subunit ribosomal RNA", at positions 28 to 507 of the family's 1533-position model. The record is from RNAcentral.
GACGAACGCUGGCGGCGUGCCUAAUACAUGCAAGUAGAACGCUGAAGAGAGGAGCUUGCUCUUCUUGGCUGAGUUGCGAACGGGUGAGUAACGCGUAGGUAACCUGCCUUGUAGCGGGGGAUAACUAUUGGAAACGAUAGCUAAUACCGCAUAACAAUGGCUGACACAUGUCAUUUAUUUGAAAGGGGCAAUUGCUCCACUACAAGAUGGACCUGCGUUGUAUUAGCUAGUAGGUGAGGUAAUGGCUCACCUAGGCGACGAUACAUAGCCGACCUGAGAGGGUGAUCGGCCAAACUGGGACUGAGACACGGCCCAGACUCCUACGGGAGGCAGCAGUAGGGAAUCUUCGGCAAUGGGGGCAAACCUGACCGAGCAACGCCGCGGGAGUGAAGAAGGUUUUCGGAUCGUAAAGCUCUGUUGUAAGUCAAGAACGGGUGUGAGAGUGGAAAGUUCACACUGUGACGGUAGCUUACCAGAAAGGGACGGCUAACUACGUG